Molecule: long non-coding RNA, 230 nt
Organism: Amblyraja radiata (thorny skate)
Lineage: Eukaryota; Metazoa; Chordata; Chondrichthyes; Rajiformes; Rajidae
Exons: 3
Source: RefSeq, a predicted model, not a curated record
AAGUGGGCAGUGAUCUUGUAGAAGAGUAUAAGAUCUUGAGAGGAAUAGAUAGGGCAAAUGCACAGUCCUUUACCCAGAGUAGAGGAAUCAAGAACCAGAUGAUAUAGGUUUAAGGUGAGGGGGGAAAGAUUUAUUAAGAAACUGAGGGAUCACGUUUUUACACAAAGGAUGGUGGGUAUAUGGAAUGAGCUGUCAUAUGAGGUAGUUGCGGCAGGUACAAUUUCAACUUU